UACGAAGGGGGCUAGCGUUGCUCGGAAUCACUGGGCGUAAAGGGUGCGUAGGCGGGUCUUUAAGUCAGGGGUGAAAUCCUGGAGCUCAACUCCAGAACUGCCCUUGAUACUGGCGGCCUUGAGUCCGGGAGAGGUGAGUGGAACUGCGAGUGUAGAGGUGAAAUUCGUAGAUAUUCGCAAGAACACCAGUGGCGAAGGCGGCUCACUGGCCCGGUACUGACGCUGAGGUGCGAAAGCGUGGGGAGCAAACAGG
This 253-nucleotide ribosomal RNA is filed under the name uncultured bacterium. RNAcentral describes it as "partial 16S ribosomal RNA". It matches the Rfam family "Bacterial small subunit ribosomal RNA", at positions 524 to 776 of the family's 1533-position model. The record is from RNAcentral.